Molecule: non-coding RNA, 721 nt
Filed under: Flavisolibacter ginsengisoli DSM 18119
Lineage: Bacteria; Pseudomonadati; Bacteroidota; Chitinophagia; Chitinophagales; Chitinophagaceae
Description: Bacterial small subunit ribosomal RNA
Rfam family: Bacterial small subunit ribosomal RNA
Source: Rfam by way of RNAcentral
ACAAUGGAGAGUUUGAUCCUGGCUCAGGAUGAACGCUAGCGGCAGGCUUAAUACAUGCAAGUCGAGGGGCAGCAGGACUGUAGCAAUACAGUUGCUGGCGACCGGCAAACGGGUGCGGAACACGUACGCAACCUACCCAAAACUGGGGAAUAGCCCGGGGAAACCCGGAUUAAUACCUCGUAACCUAUUGGAGUGGCAUCACUUUAAUAGUAUAGCUCCGGCGGUUUUGGAUGGGCGUGCGCCUGAUUAGGUAGUUGGUGAGGGUAACGGCCCACCAAGCCUGCGAUCAGUAACUGGUGUGAGAGCACGACCAGUCACACGGGCACUGAGACACGGGCCCGACUCCUACGGGAGGCAGCAGUAAGGAAUAUUGGUCAAUGGACGCAAGUCUGAACCAGCCAUGCCGCGUGAAGGAUGAAGGUCCUCUGGAUUGUAAACUUCUUUUAUAUGGGACGAAACCCGGGAAUUCUUUCCCGAUUGACGGUACCAUAAGAAUAAGCACCGGCUAACUCCGUGCCAGCAGCCGCGGUAAUACGGAGGGUGCAAGCGUUAUCCGGAUUCACUGGGUUUAAAGGGUGCGUAGGAGGGUAGGUAAGUCAGUGGUGAAAUCUUCGAGCUUAACUCGGAAACUGCCGUUGAUACUAUCUAUCUUGAAUACCGUGGAGGUGAGCGGAAUAUGUCAUGUAGCGGUGAAAUGCUUAGAUAUGACAUAGAACACCAA